RNAcentral lists this ribosomal RNA (433 nucleotides) under uncultured bacterium. RNAcentral's name for it is "partial 16S ribosomal RNA". It matches the Rfam family "Bacterial small subunit ribosomal RNA", at positions 29 to 507 of the family's 1533-position model. The record is from RNAcentral.
AACGAACGCUGGCGGCAUGCCUAACACAUGCAAGUCGAACGAGACCUUCUGGUCUAGUGGCCCACGGGUGCGUAACGCGUGGGAACCUUCCCUUAGGUUCGGAAUAACUCCCCGAAAGGGGUGCUAAUACCGGAUGAUGUCUUCUGACCAAUGAUUUAUCGCCUUUGGAUGGUCCCGCGUUGGAUUAGCUAUUUGGUAAGGUAAAAGCCUACCAAGGCGACGAUCCAUAGCUGGUCUGAGAGGAUGAUCAGCCACACUGGGACUGAGACACGGCCCAGACUCCUACGGGAGGCAGAAGUUGGGAAUAUUGGACACCGGGCGAAAGACUGAUCCAGCCAUGCCGCGUGAGUGAUGAAGGCCUUAGGGUUGUAAAGCUCUUUUACCCGGGAUGAUAAUGACAGUACCGGGAGAAUAAGCUCCGGCUAACUACGUG